UUAGUCUGAGGAAACAGACAGCAACAACGCUGAUUACAGCCACUGGCCUCCACAAUUUUUUUUUCUAACUAGCAAUUUCGAGAACAAGUGCCCUGGUGUCAGCUAAAGAAACACAACUGCGGGUUUUCUCAGAUUGAAAUGGUUCUGAAAUGUCACUGAAUAGCUCACAAAGGACAAUCUACGACUACAGAGACAUAAGCACGUAGGCAGGAGGAUGAGAGGCCCGGUAUCCUCCUCUUCCAGGCAUUCAACCUUCCAUGGAGACAGAGAAAGAAAGAUUGUGAGAGGGAGACACACACAUUCAGAUGAGCCUUCAGGGAAUUGUUUGAACUUUUGAACCAGAGAUGGAGAGCCAGAGAUGGAGAGCCAGAGCCCAGCCUGUUCCCACUUUAAUAAACAUUUUUUUCUUCAAUUAAUUAAGGUUUGGAAAGAAAAAAAAUCACAGAAGAGAAGUAAUUUAGCAUGGAGCGCAUACUUUACAGAUGGAUCCUACCUUCGGAUGCUUAUUAAAUCUAUGCAUGAUUGCGCUGGAGAAAAUUAAUCGCAUUGUUUCUCACUAUUCAAAAGGGGUUUGCAAACAGCACGAAAAUAAAAAGGAAAAUGAA
Non-coding RNA from Phascolarctos cinereus (koala), 605 nucleotides. The record is from RefSeq and is a predicted model, not a curated record. Lineage: Eukaryota; Metazoa; Chordata; Mammalia; Diprotodontia; Phascolarctidae.